GAGCAGUGAUGUCUGGAUGAGCCUGCCUGCUGACUAACAGCCCGGGAUGGCGACUCCCAUCCAGCAGCUGAGCAGCUGGGCCAGGAGGCUGAACAAACAUCCCUCACUCAAGAUGCACUCAAGAACGCUAAGGAACUCUGAAGAAAAAGGGUCCAACCUGUCUGACCUGAAGUAUCCUGGCCUGGUGCCCACACCCGCUGGGCCUGUGCACCUGAAGAUGUGGAAUUCUUUCUACUCCAGAUGCUGUGGACGCCGAAUGACUGAAUUGACCCUGCUGCGUAUGAAGGAUGGGCUCUAUCAUGAUGGCCUGCCAAUAACAAUUGGGAGCUCUCUGGUUUAUGUUCUGGCAAAUAUCAACACAACAAAACAAAACACAGCAAAAACUCCGUUUGUGAGGCUUCUGGAGAGGAGAAAAGCAGUCUCUGAACAUAUGGUUACCAAUUAGAGUUUUCUUGAACAGUUACGCUUUCGAGAGAAGACAGAAAAUGUGUCCCUGCC
This is a long non-coding RNA of Equus quagga, 498 nucleotides long. RefSeq lists it as uncharacterized. Lineage: Eukaryota; Metazoa; Chordata; Mammalia; Perissodactyla; Equidae. The transcript has 3 exons. The record is from RefSeq and is a predicted model, not a curated record.